RNAcentral lists this ribosomal RNA (501 nucleotides) under uncultured bacterium. RNAcentral's name for it is "bacterial SSU rRNA". It matches the Rfam family "Bacterial small subunit ribosomal RNA", at positions 791 to 1297 of the family's 1533-position model. The record is from RNAcentral.
UAGUCCAUGCUGUAAACGAUGAUAACUCGAUGCAUGCGAUAAAUUGUAUGUGUCCAAGCGAAAGCGUUAAGUUAUCCACCUGGGGAGUACGAUCGCAAGGUUGAAACUCAAAGGAAUUGACGGGGGCCCGCACAAGCGGUGGAGCAUGUGGUUUAAUUCGAUGUUACGCGAGGAACCUUACCAGGGCUUGAAAGUUAGCGACAGGUCGGGAAACCGAUCUUCCCUUCGGGGCGCGAAACUAGGUGCUGCAUGGCUGUCGUCAGCUCGUGCCGUGAGGUGUCGGGUUAAGUCCCAUAACGAGCGCAACCCCUAUCUCUAGUUGCCAGCACAUAAUGGUGGGGACUCUAGAGAAACUGCCCGCGUAAGCGGUGAGGAAGGUGGGGACGACGUCAAGUCAUCAUGGCCCUUACGUCCUGGGCUACACACGUGCUACAAUGGCAAAUACAAUGGGCAGCUACUGGGUGACCAGAUGCUAAUCUCUAAAGUUUGUCUCAGUUCGGA